CACAAUCCCGCCCCUUCUGCUCUAUCUGGCGCACCUGCACCCCCAUCCAUUAUCUGAGAUUUAUGUACUAUUAACCUUAGCAGCCCGAGAGGUACGAAGGCGCAUGUUUAUUUUUUUAAAUCUUGGCUCACAAAUGUUGUUCACUCAGAGGGAUGGUCUUUCUUUCUCUCUCCAUUUCUUUUUUUUUUUGUCCUUUCUCUUUCUCUUUCUCUCCCUCCUACUCCUCCACCUCCUCCUCUCUGUGUUCAUUCCAUCAAGGCUACUUGAGAAGAGUGUAAUGGAGAGACGUUGCACUCCAUCCCCCCGGACAGACAACCCAGGGGGAGGGGGAGAUGGACCAGCAGGGGUGAGGAGGAGGAGGAGGAGGAGGAGGAGGAGGAGGAGGAGGAGGAGGAGGAGGAGGAGGUCGGUCCGUGUGAGGUAUCGCGUCUUCAACCAUCAACAUGCGCUGAAUGCCGCCGCUCCAUGCCCUGCCAAUUAUUCACAUUUCUUCGUCUGCACUAUUUAUUUAGAGUAUGUAGUGGAGCAGAUUAAGGGUAGCGACCAUGGGAAACCCAGCUAUUUAUGCUACGCCCGCCGUGAAUUUGGAGCAAUAUCUUGUUUCUCAUUUCAUUUGGCAGAAUUAUUGCAGUUAUUAAAUUCCUGAUGAUACGAUUCCCGGCAGGAGCGAGUCAGAAUCAGAUGAAAAGCGCGCACUUGUUUCAGCCUCGCCGCGGCCCCAGCACGGGCGGCCUGAACGCUCCCCUCUGCAAGUGAACGUUCGUUUCUGCUUCUGUGAUUGGACAUUCUAAAUGCCAAUUUACCAGCUAAUGGUCAUUCCUGCCAUCCUUUUACUAAGUGAGAAAACUGUUCGUGUUCCUGAGCAAGGGAGUGGCGGUCGCUUCUGCUCGGGUACUGGCGUCUCUCUCUCUCUCUCUCUCUCUCUCUCUCUCUCUGAGGGGAGAUGUGCAGCGAGGAGUGUCACAAAGUGUGUGCCCCGCUGUGUUCCUCAGCUAAGUGGCGGGGACGCCUCGCUGACCACCUUCACCUCCUCCUCCUCCUCCUCCUCCUCCUAUUCCACGUCCUCCCAGCAGCCGGAGGUUAGCGCGCUGCCCGACACACGCCAGGGAGCGCGGCGGAUAAAAGACCGGACGGACAUGCACGGCAGCGGCAGGACAGAGGCGGAGUCAAUAACACUCACACCGACGGAUUAGGUGCAGAUCCCGCCUCCCAGGGACACACUUGUGCACCUGUCAAGCGAAUAUAAAAACAUAAUAAGGAGACUGCAAAAGGUCAGGUGGUGUGAUGCACGGGCCGGGGAGUGAGCCAAGACUCUCUCCUCUCACCUGCCCUGGCCUCACCUGUACCUGGACGGGGGAAGAAGAGGAUUCCUGUUUUAUUCCACUCGUUUUACUGCUGCGGAGGGCAAGACACACCUGGUGAUACCCUCAGGUGAGCUGGACGCCACUAUCUCUCUACCUGAUACCUGUGUCCUCGUAUAAAAGGUAAUUAGUUAAUGCAUGAAGGUGAGUAACAUGAAAGAGAAGGUAGAUGAUGUUCUACUUAUAUUAUCUUGAUUUACCUGGUAGUGUAGUCGUGGUUAAAAGUCUAAUAAUAUUCUAUUUUUCAUUGUAUUUUGUGUUUUCUCUCAAUCUUAACUCCUGUGAUAUGUUAAGAAUCUAAUAUCGUCAGCUUUUGUAAGAUUUCCAAGAGAUCAGAGGACGUAAGAUUGAAGUGAGUGCAAUAGAUUACUCGAUUAUGGAGUGUAUUAAUUUCUAGCCUCUCAUAGUUUACAAUUCUCAGUGAGGAUUUGCUUACAGUUUCUGGAAAGACAGCAGUGUGAUAAGACGAAGGGAAUUAAGUGUAAUAUUUCGUUAUUACCUUGAUUUCCUUGACGAUGAGCAUUUAUUAAUUCAGGUUCUCCAUAAGGAUUUUCUUGUGAUUUCUGAAAGAAUAAUGGUACAGCUAAUUAAUAUAUACGUAUUAUGAAUGAUACACGUGGAUUUAGAAAUGCAUAAAAACAGUUUUGUUUUGUUAUUUCAUAAUGAUACAUACAGAUUUGUAUGCUCAUAACAUUCAUCUUCUCUUUACAAACUUAGAAAAAAAUUCUUUCUUUUAUGCGAAAAAGAAAACAACUAAAGGCACAAAAAAAAAAAAUGGAAUAAGAAGGAAAGACUACUAUUUUGUCUUUUACGAAAAAAAUAAAUACAUAAAUAGAUAACUAUAGAAGAAAGUUUAAAAUGAAGAACAGUUUAGUAUUGGACUGUACUCCUUCUGGAUACACACUACAAGCAGGCACUAACCUACACAACCAUUCGUCACACACCACAAACAUAAAAACAUCGUAGCAGACACAUUAGAAAAUCCACACCACUAAAUCAAACACACACACACACACACACACACACACACACACACACACACACACACACACACACACACACACACACACACACACACACAACGUACCACAACACAGCAAGUUACCGUCUUUGUAUUACGGAUUUUUAUCACUCAUUCCCAUGACCAAAAAGAAAAGAUAAGAGACACUCAUUUGUAUUUUUCCGAGUCACUACAACUAAUGGAGACGCACUUGGGGAGACUGAGGCGGAUGUGCAGCUUUCAUGUACGUAGACACAGAUAUAAAAAUUAACUCUUAUUCCGUAAAUUGACUUGUUGUUUAGUAAUGCCUCUCAAAUGCAAGUAUUAUUAUUAUUAUAUAUAUUUUUUUUUUCAUGUGACUGGUGUGUUGUGCUGAAUGUUUUGUCUAAUGUAAUGAUGAUGAUAAUAAUAAUUAGAAGAUGAAAGAGAAAAAAAAGAAAAAGAAGAUGAAAAAGAAAGAAAAAGUAGAAGUAUGAAUAACAAUAACAACCACAACAAGUAGUAGUAGUAGUAGUAGUAGUAGUAGUAGUAGCAGCAGCAGCACCAGCACCAGCAGCAGCACCAGCAGCAGCAGCAAUAAAUAGUAAAGGUAGAGGCAGCAAUAGUCAUAGUAACAUUACCAGCAAUAACAGCAACAACACUACCACUAAUAAUGAUAACGAUAACAAAAUAACAACAAUAACAAAGGAGGGAGAGAAAAUAACGGACCACGUGGGAGGACAGGCCGACAAAACCAACAUCGCGAAGGUUUGGGUAUUGAAUAAACGGGCAGGUGUAAACACGAGAGCAGCGGACAGGCACGCCGGGCUUAAUAGACAGGUAGGGGAGGCCCAGGACAAGUAAACACACAAUCCAGACCAAGGAAACGCGGGAAAGGUGGCGCUGGACUAACAGGAGUAGUAGUAGUGGUGGUGGUGGUAGUGGUAGUAGUAGUAGUAAGAGGAGGAGGAGGAAAGGAACAUAAAAAUACAUAGGGAGAAAAGAUACCAGAAGAUUUGGUGUGUAACUAUGUACUACUGCCAGUAAUUGAUAUGAAGGACAGCAAGAUAGAAUAGAGAAAGGAAAAAAAGAGACGGAGGAGGUGGAUUACAUAGAAGAGAUGAACUACUGCUACUAUUACUACUACUGAACUACUUGUCGAAUAGGGUAAGGAGGAGGAGAACAAUAAGGUUAAUGAAAAAGACGAGACCAGGUUUAGCGUUGGAAGGGGAAACAAAUGUCCCUAGAAAUAGUACAGUGAUUCAUAUUCGCCUGCAGUGGACAGGUGAAAGUGAGUCAAGCGCAAACACAUAACACUGGAAAGGUAAACAAACAGGUGCAAUGCGGCAAAUAAACAGAUGGUUAGCGGAACAGUCAACAGAGGGCGGCAGGGAGGCUGAUCACAUGAUAAACACACGAGUUGGGAAAAUACCCAUGCCUGUUUAGAUAACACACACACACACAGACAAACACACACACACACACACACACACACAAGGAGGUUGACAGCACACCAGAAGACUCGCAAAGGGACUGACAGGACAAUUUCUUCACCUAAUGGAUGUAACUCUUCAUUGUAAGUCAUGCGGCCCGGAUUUUCCUCGCGCCGUCCUGUCACAAACACGUUCUUCUCCCGUCCACUGGGUGACUUAACUGACUCAACCUGACCUGCCCUCCUGCGUGACCUUCGUGUAUGGUUAUGAUUGUGUUGUAUUGUUGUUAUAACUUUCCUCCUCCUCCUCCACGUCUUCUUUUUGCUAUACAAUAAAGACGGUAGUUCAGAUCCUCAUCUCUCAAUGUCUCCAUUUUCUAUCUCCAUUCCUUCUCUUACUUUCUCCCUUUCAUUCCUUUUAUCCGUCCCUUUUUAGUGUCUUAGUGACUUUGAUUUUUAUGUUAAUGUGUUUGUUGAGUCUUAUUAGUGUUGGUACUUUCAUUAUUGAUAUUUGUAUUAUCAUUAGUAGUAGUAGUAGUACUAGUAGCUGUAGUAGUAGCAGUACAAGUAGAAGUAAUAGUAGUAGUAGCAACAGCAGCAGUAUCGUUGUUUCCAUCAUAAUUAUUAUUACUUUUAUUUCUGUCGUUAUUUAUAAAUGUGAUAGACAUAACAAGACUCGCCUUUGCGUAUCACAUCAAGUCCUUAAAAAAAAAAAAAAGUAGCACAGGAAAAAAAAAAAAAACACACACGCACCUACAAACACGCAGACACAAACACAGGUAUACGUGAACAAAAUAUAAUUACGAUGAAAGCUAGCAAGGCAUGUAAGUGUGCGUGCAGGAGGAGGUAGAAUCAUAGGAGGGGUGGCGGUAUCAAACACGUGUGGCCAGUGAGGCGAACACACACAAGGGAAGAUAAAGUACACCUCGCAACCACUUCAUUAGCGGACUGAGGAGGCGAAUCUCUCAGACGAAAGCAGCAGGGAAACGUCGGCUGUAAAUCACAAACAGGCUGGCCAAGACUUGUUUGUCCAGCCCGCAUUCCAGCCCAGAUCAUCACCGGGCCGCCGAGUGGGUAAUUGCAGCCCAGUAAGCCUCAGGAAACAUCUGGGCUUGGUGGCCUUUGUCGUUGCUUAAUCCCUUGAUUGCUAUCUGGCACGUAUUUCUUUGAUCAUAAACCACUCCAAGACAAUUUCUUUCCCUGUUACAACCACUUUCAAGCAUUUUACUAGCGAGAAACUUUAAAAUCUAGUACCUGGAGCCUUCUUUCUUUCUAUAACUUUUAGCUUCAAUCCUUUAUUGCUAUCCGGCACGUAUUUCCUUGAUUAUAAACCACUUCAAAACAAUUUCCUUCUCUAUUAUAACAAUCUUCAGACACUUCACUAGCUAGAAACUGAAAAAUGUAAUAUAUUAACGCCUUUUCUUUCUUUACACUGUUUUUAGUGUUGUGAACUAAUGCAUAUUGCAGUGAAAUGGUUAUAUAGAGUAUGAUAUGGUCCACAGAUUGUUGGUUCCCUAGUGUCACCCGUGAGUUCUUGAGGGAUGAAGCUUUGGCUUUGGUUUGGAAGGUUAGUGUCAGUGAGUGUGAGGAGAUGAUGCGUGUCCGAUAAUAUGAUUGGUGUGUGUGCGUUCUUGGUUCGAGUCUGCCCUUGGGAUAUGUAAAUGAUGUGUGUGUGUGUGUGUGUGUGUGUGUGUGUGUGUGUGUGUGUGUGUGUGUGUGUGUGUGUUUGAAGCUGUCCAGUGUAGAUUAAAGUGACGAAUUUGCUACACACACACACACACACACACACACACAAAGGUACAAGUCAUUUAGAACCAGGUGCUAAAUUAGGGAAGGAAGCUAACAUAACAGUCACACCAGUUAGCACCACCACCACCACCACCUCGCACCCACACUACUCCCUACCGCCACCAUCUCACACCUACAUUUCCUACCACCACCACCACCACUACCUCACUCUAGCCGCCCUGAGCGUUCCCUACAGGAGUCUGGUUGGGGGGAUAAGGGCGCGUACGAGUGACUGCUUUCCUGUUGUAAUGUUUGUCCAAAAUUUAACGCCGCUUGUCUCAGUAAAUCAGUUUAAUUAAGAGACGUAUUUACUCUUUAUUAACGGUGGUCUUUGAUUAACCUCAGCUUGAGAGGAGAGAGAGGGAAGGAGUGGGGAGUCAGGGCACGCCGCUCCCCCUUCCCCCCUUCCCCCCUUACCCCUUUCACCUAACUCGAUCCCCCAGACUUGGGUUCUCGUCCUCGACUCUGCUCAUUACGGGAAGCAGGUCCGGCCGAUGUUGGUUUAUGAUUUUUACCUCACAUUAUGAUUUCUCGGUAAUUACCACUACAACAUGGGUGGCAAUUAAGCUGCCUGGUUUUUUUUUUUUCUUUUCUUUUUUCCUUUCUCCUCCUAGUUGUUGUUUCCCUCGUCUUGACCGUGGAGGAGGGAGAGUGAGGGAGGGUGACUGAGUAAGAGGGAUUGAGGGUCGGAAAAGGAAAGUGAAUAGGGAGUGAGGAGUGAUGGAGGGCUAUGGAGGGUAAGAAAGUGAAGGAGAGUAAGGAAUGAGUGUUGGGGAGUAAGAGGGAGUUAAGAGUAUGUUAGGGGAAUAAGGGAGCGUAAUAAGUGGAGUGAGGGAGAGUAACAGGGCUGUGUGAGGAUAGGGAGGCACACUUCCCCUCGGGUGAUCCCUAGGGAGGCCGCGAUGAGGUCAGCAAAUAAUGGGCGAGGAGUCAUAACUGGCGGCAGGAAGCAAUAAUAUGGCACUGUUUGGCAGCUCCUCCACGAACACCAAUUAAUUAGGAAGGUAAGCAGGUGAGGUGCCAGGUGUUGCUGGAUCGUUAACUUACCACACCACUAUUACUCCCCCUCCCUCUCCCCCACCUCCUCUCCCUCCAGUCCUCAACCUCUCCUCGUUUCCAGAAUCCUGCGCCACAAUCACAAGCACCACCACCAUCACCACCGUCACCAUUUCAUAAAAACAACAUAUUAAUCUUAAAUAAUUUUGUUUAUGCGAUGCAUUUUUAUGAAAACUAAUCAAGGUAAGAAACUGACAUACAGUGUAGUGUUAAUUAAUGAGAGAAACGCCUGCCCUCCCUGACAUUUUUAUUUCGCAGUUUUCAUUGUUGGUUCAUAUUAUUAAAAUGUAAUUUGAUAGACCAUUCAUUCAUUUUGGCUUUUUAGUUGACCAAAGUUUAAUUAAUCAUAAUAAUUAAACACUCACACGUUUGAUUCCUUUGGCGAGACUCGUGUUUGGAGAAAAUAGUGACUUUUAUGUUGCCUUUCUUUUAUUUAGUUAAUGAAAUGGUGAUGCUGGUGGUGGCGGUGGUGGUGGUGAUGACUGGUGUAGUGGCGGGUACAUAUCUGGUAUUGAUGAUGUGUAGGUGGUAGUGAUGCUGUUGUGGCUGUGAUGCGAUUAGAGCGGUAACGAUAUAACUGAAGUGGUGAUUAUGUAUUCAUGGUGGUAGUGUGGUUAUGGUAAUAAGAGUGUAGUGUCUGCUGCUCAUGGUAGUUAAUAUGUGGGUGUGGUGAUGAGUGGUGGCACAGAUAGUGAUGAGCCAAAUAAACACCUUGGCAUAUCUUGGAGACUUUCACCAGCGUAAUCCUGAUUGUUGGAAGAGCAGAGUGGGACUCGAAAAGUUUUUAUUUAUAAUUUGUUUGACUCCGGGAUCAGCAGUGACAAGCGGAAGAUAAGCUGCAUUUAAUCAGGUACGUUACGAUCUUUAACACUCAUUUUUUUUUUCAACGAAACACAUUAAUACUACUUUUUCCAAUGUUUACUUUAGUUUUAUACUGAAAGAAAUAUUGCGAAUUGUGUAAUUAGUGUUUUCCUGUUUCGAACCAGUUGAGCACAUUGUUAUAACACUACAUUAUUGCAAUUUACCAUAUAGACAGCAUUAAUGAUACGAUAAUAUGAGUAGGUACAAUAAUAUUUAUAGUAGAUUAGAAGUAGCACAAAGGUAGUAAACAAGUUAUUUAGAUUCCACCUGUAUCUCGACUAAGGAUUCAGUGAAACAGCCACAUUUCAAAUCUAGACAUUUUUUUCUUUUCUAUAAACCAUGUUAAUCAGAUGCUAAUAUACGCAGAGGUUGUAUGCUUAUAUCUAUAAUAAACUAAGAAGAGAGGAAAUUACUAUCUCGACUCAAGAUUCAGUGAAGCAGCUGGAUUUCACAUUCCACGACCGCCGACCAGUGAGCGUUUAGUGCGUGGCUGACGGCAGCGGAGGGAGGUGAAGGCGUGGAGGCGGCGUGGCAGAGGCGUUGCUGUCGUCAUGGCGUGUUGUUCUUCCCGUCUUGUUCAUUAGCAGGACAAGAGCGGCGGUGGCGGCACUUUCCGUCUCCACGUGAUCGUCACCACCUGCACCGCUAACCUCCCGCCGCCCAGACUCAGCGCGUGCACACCUUCAGCAGCACGCACCACCAACACAGCUACGGUGUGUGUACUUUCUACGGACACGCAGAUCUCCCUCCACAUUGUGUGAUGAAAACCUUGGGGAUGUUACACAGAUCCGGAGAUGAGAGGAUGACGCAGCAGCACUGAGGCGCUUCAGACACGGAGAUCCGAAGCCGGAAGAGCGCGGAUGGUCGCAGCUUCGAGUACAGACAACUUACAAGCAAUGGGAAGAAAAGAUUCUCAGGCCGGCGUCUUCAGUGAAGCAAGUUGCGCUUCCAGUCGUUAUAUAAAAAAAAUAAAGGGGGAGGAAAAAAAGCGGCAACAAAUACGCCAGGACCGUUUUCCUCCCCCUUUAAGUGUGUGUGUGUUUUUGGUUGUUUAAUUUUCUUCCCCAACCCACAAAAACAUUUAUUAUUCCUCGCUUACUUAUAAGGUCCUAGAAUUUUUUUUUAAUUAGUGACACUCACACUACUGGGGUGACGCACCCCCUCCUCCCCCGCUUAUCCUCCAAUCAUUAAGGUGGAUAUGAUGGGAUGGAUGAUUUCUCUUAUUUUAAAUUAAUGCUACUUGGAUAAGCGGGGAAGAAGACGCACCCGCACCACUCCUUAACGGUAAGCGAGAGGAAUGACAUUCAAGAAAAUGGGUUGGGGAAAAUUAAAUAAUCCCCCCUUGUUUUUA
This is an RNA transcript of Scylla paramamosain (green mud crab), 8828 nucleotides long. RefSeq lists it as uncharacterized. NCBI's taxonomy places the organism in Eukaryota, Metazoa, Arthropoda, Malacostraca, Decapoda, Portunidae. The record is from RefSeq and is a predicted model, not a curated record. The transcript is spliced from 7 exons.